UUUCCGUAGGUGAACCUGCGGAAGGAUCAUUAUUGUAUAACCGAGGUGCGAGGGCUGUUGCUGACCCGAAAGGUCGUGCACGCCCGAGUGCCCUCACACACAUCCAUCUCACCCCUAUGUGCACCACCGCGUGAGUCCCCCUUUGGCUUGUUCGGAGGGGGGCUUACGUUUUCACACAAACUUUGUAUGCAGUGUAGAAUGUAUUUUUUGUUUUUGCGAUCACGCAAUCAAUACAACUUUCAACAACGGAUCUCUUGGCUCUC
This 263-nucleotide unclassified non-coding RNA is filed under the name plant metagenome. RNAcentral describes it as "partial contains small subunit ribosomal RNA, internal transcribed spacer 1, and 5.8S ribosomal RNA". The record is from RNAcentral.